AGUCUGGUGCCAGCAGCCGCGGUAAUUCCAGCUCCAAUAGUGUAUAUUAAAGUUGCUGCAGUUAAAAAGCUCGUAGUUGGAUUUUGAAUUAUAAAAAUUUAACAUUCAUCUUUUAGAUGUGAUUUAAUUUUUAUAUUCUUCCUUUUGAUACGCUCCAUCAAAUUAUAUUUUUUGGAUUUAAGUGUUUCAAAUUGUUUACUGUGAAAAAAUUAGAGUGUUCAAAGCAGGCGUAACCUAGCCUUUGAAUAUAUUAGCAUGGGAUAAUGAAAUAGGACUUUAAUCCUACUUUCGUUGGUUUCUAGGGCUAAAGUAAUGAUUAAUAGGGAUAGUUGGGGUCACUAGUAUUUAAUUGUCAGAGGUGAAAUUCUAAGAUUUAUUAAAGACUAACUACUGCGAAAGCAUUUGACAAGGAUGUUUUCAUUAAUCAAGAACGAAAGUUGGGGGAUCGAAGAUGAUCAGAUACCGUCGUAGUCUCAACCAUAAACUAUGCCGACCAAGGAUCCGAGGUUGUUAAUAUGGAUGACUCUUCGGGCACUUAUAGAGAAAUCAUAAGUAUUUGGGCUCCGGGGGGAGUAUGGUCGCAAGGCUGAAACUUAAAGGAAUUGACGGAAGGGCACCACAAGGAGUGGAACCUGCGGUUUAAUUUGACCCAACACGGGAAAACUUACCAGGUCCAGACACAGUGAGGAUUGACAGAUUGAGAGUUCUUUCUUGAUUCUGUGAGUGGUGGUGCAUGGCCGUUUCUAGUUGGUGGAGUGAUUUGUCUGGUUAAUUCUGUUAACGAACGAGACCUUAACCUAUUAAAUAGUUAUUUAAACUUGAUUUUUAAAAUCAAAUGUUUAAAAAACUUCUUAGAGGGACUCUUCACUGAGAGAGUGAAUGGAAGUUUGAGGCAAAAACAGGUCUGUGAUGCCCUUAGAUGUUCUGGGCCACACGCGCGUUACACUGACAUAUUCAACGAGCAUUAUCCUUACCCGUCGGGGUUGGGUAAUCUUUUAAAUGUAUGUCGUGCUGGGGAUAGAUCAUUGUAAUUAUUGGUCUUGAACGAGGAAUUCCUAGUAAGUGCGAGUCAUCAACUCGCGCUGAUUACGUCCCUGCCCUUUGUACACACCGCCCGUCGCUCCUACCGAUUGAAUGGUCCGGCGAGAACUCAGGAUGGAUAUGGAUUUUGGACACUUAGGUGCUCCAACCAUAUCCAGAAUUUGUUCAAACCUUACCAUUUAGAGGAAGGAGAAGUCGUAACAAGGUUUCCGUAGGUGAACCUGCGGAAG
RNAcentral lists this ribosomal RNA (1271 nucleotides) under metagenome. RNAcentral's name for it is "SSU rRNA". It matches the Rfam family "Eukaryotic small subunit ribosomal RNA", at positions 558 to 1823 of the family's 1831-position model. The record is from RNAcentral.